This 473-nucleotide ribosomal RNA is filed under the name Clitaetra episinoides. RNAcentral describes it as "partial 16S ribosomal RNA". It matches the Rfam family "Bacterial large subunit ribosomal RNA", at positions 1947 to 2711 of the family's 2925-position model. The record is from RNAcentral. Lineage: Eukaryota; Metazoa; Arthropoda; Arachnida; Araneae; Nephilidae.
UGUGCUAAGGUAGCAUAAUCACUAGCCUUUUAAUUGAAGGCUGGUAUGAAAGGUAAAACAUUUUAAUUUCUUUCUUAUUAAUAAAUUUAUAAUUUAUAUUAAGUAUAAAAAUAUACUUAUUAUUUAAUAAGACAACAAGACCCUAUUGAACUUUACUUUAGUUUAGCUGGGGUAGCUAAUUAAAUAUUAUUUUAAUUUAAUUUAAUAAAUUAAAGAUCCAAUAUCAUUGAUUUAUUGAAUUAAGUUACCAUAGGGAUAACAGCAUAAUUUUUUUAUAAAGUUCGUAUUAACAAAAAAGAUUGUGACCUCGAUGUUGAAUUAAUGUACCAUUUAUUAUGUAAUAAUAUAAAAUGUAGGUCUGUUCGACCUUUAAAACAUUACAUGAUUUGAGUUCAAAUCGGCGUAAGCCAGAUUGGUUUCUAUCUAUUAUUAAAUUUGUUUAGUACGAAAGGACCAAUAAAUUUAUUUUUAAU